UUUGUCUCAAAGGACAUUAAGUCCAUAUCAGUCUUGGUGAGUGGGUCUCUGGACUUCCUGUAAAUGAGUCCAAUCACAUUUCAGUUGACGACGCUUGUUGAUGGUGUCAGUUUUUGUUUCAGUGUAAAAUUUCCACAGCAGCAGGUGUCCAAGGUGGAGGAAGUGAUGUUGGUGGGUGACAUUGCAGGGGGUUCACAUGUGGGCCCCAGAUGAGCUGAAGAGGUCUCACUUCUCCCGUUUCUCAGGAACCUUUAGUGACUGAUGUUAGACAACGUCCCAGCAUGCAUUUGGACCAGCAGCAAUGGAGGAGAUUCUCAUUUACAACUUUUAUUGUGUCACUGGCCAGGUUGGAAAGGAAGCCCCAACAGUCAGGUGCAGGCGUGUCGAUGAUGUCACAGUACAGUCAGGUGCAGAUGUGUCGAUGAUGUCACAGUACAGUCAGGUGCAGGCGUGUCGAUGAUGUCACAGUACAGUCAGGUGCAGAUGUGUCGAUGAUGUCACAGUACAGCAGCUAACAUGAAGCCAGCAGGUUUGGGAGUUAUUGUUUUGGGUGUCGAUAGAUUUACAGCAGAUGCUUCUUCUUCUCUGGUCUGAGAAUAAUCCAAUCGUCCUGAUGUCACAGUUUUCCCUCCAUAUGAAUGUUA
This is a long non-coding RNA of Scatophagus argus, 644 nucleotides long. RefSeq lists it as uncharacterized. The record is from RefSeq and is a predicted model, not a curated record. NCBI's taxonomy places the organism in Eukaryota, Metazoa, Chordata, Actinopteri, Scatophagidae. The transcript has 2 exons.